Molecule: ribosomal RNA, 669 nt
Filed under: uncultured archaeon
Lineage: Archaea
Description: bacterial SSU rRNA
Rfam family: Archaeal small subunit ribosomal RNA
Source: RNAcentral
UUCCCUACGGGGUGCAGCAGGCGCGAAAACUUUACAAUGCGGGAAACCGUGAUAAGGGGACACCGAGUGCCAGCAACAUUUGUUGGCUGUCCAGGUGUGUAAACUACACCUGUUAGCAAGGGCCGGGCAAGACCGGUGCCAGCCGCCGCGGUAACACCGGCGGCCCGAGUGGUGAUCGUGAUUAUUGGGUCUAAAGGGUCCGUAGCCGGUUUGGUCAGUCCUCCGGGAAAUCUGACGGCUUAACCGUGAGGCUUUCGGGGGAUACUGCCAGGCUUGGAACCGGGAGAGGUAAGAGGUACUACAGGGGUAGGAGUGAAAUCUUGUAAUCCCUGUGGGACCACCUGUGGCGAAGGCGUCUUACCAGAACGGGUUCGACGGUGAGGGACGAAAGCUGGGGGCACGAACCGGAUUAGAUACCCGGGUAGUCCCAGCCGUAAACGAUGCUCGCUAGGUGUCAGGCAUGGCGCGACCGUGUCUGGUGCCGCAGGGAAGCCGUGAAGCGAGCCAUCUGGGAAGUACGGCCGCAAGGCUGAAACUUAAAGGAAUUGGCGGGGGAGCACAACAACGGGUGGAGCCUGCGGUUUAAUUGGACUCAACGCCGGACAACUCACCGGGGGCGACAGCAAUAUGUAGGCCAAGCUGAAGACUUUGCCUGAAUCGCUGAGAGGA